RNAcentral lists this small RNA (783 nucleotides) under Pan troglodytes (chimpanzee). RNAcentral's name for it is "processed transcript". Lineage: Eukaryota; Metazoa; Chordata; Mammalia; Primates; Hominidae. The record is from RNAcentral.
UCCUUGACCUGGUUUACCACCAUUGUGCCUUUGGUCCUGGUGAUAACUAUGACAGCUGUCAAAGAUGCCACAGAUGACUAUUUUCGCCACAAGAGUGAUAAUCAAGUGAAUAAUCGGCAGUCUGAAGUGCUCAUCAACAGCAAACUGCAGAAUGAAAAAUGGAUGAAUGUCAAAGUGGGAGACAUCAUUAAAUUAGAAAAUAACCAAUUUGUUGCUGCUGAUUUACUUCUCCUAUCAAGUAGUGAGCCACAUGGUCUCUGUUAUGUUGAAACUGCUGAGCUUGAUGGGGAAACGAACCUAAAAGUCCGCCAUGCACUAUCAGUUACUUCAGAACUUGGAGCAGAUAUCAGCAGACUUGCAGGGUUUGAUGGGAUUGUUGUCUGUGAGGUGCCUAACAACAAGUUAGAUAAAUUCAUGGGAAUCCUUUCUUGGAAAGACAGCAAGCACUCCCUCAACAAUGAGAAGAUAAUCCUGAGAGGCUGCAUCCUGAGAAAUACCAGCUGGUGUUUUGGAAUGGUUAUUUUUGCAGGUCCUGACACUAAACUAAUGCAGAACAGUGGUAAGACAAAGUUUAAAAGGACAAGCAUUGAUAGAUUGAUGAAUACUCUAGUACUAUGGGAAAUUCAAUCUGGGAGAGUCAAACUGGGGACCAAUUCAGAACUUUCCUCUUUUGGAAUGAAGGAGAGAAGAGCUCUGUGUUCUCCGGAUUCUUAACAUUCUGGUCAUAUAUUAUUAUUCUCAAUACAGUUGUACCCAUUUCCUUAUAUGUGAGGUAAGAUGAGA